RNAcentral lists this ribosomal RNA (496 nucleotides) under uncultured bacterium. RNAcentral's name for it is "partial 16S ribosomal RNA". It matches the Rfam family "Bacterial small subunit ribosomal RNA", at positions 28 to 506 of the family's 1533-position model. The record is from RNAcentral.
GAUGAACGCUGGCGGCGUGCCUAAUACAUGCAAGUCGAGCGAACAGACGAGGAGCUUGCUCCUCUGACGUUAGCGGCGGACGGGUGAGUAACACGUGGAUAACCUACCUAUAAGACUGGGAUAACUUCGGGAAACCGGAGCUAAUACCGGAUAAUAUAUUGACCCGCAUGGUUCAAUAGUGAAAGACGGUUUUGCUGUCACUUAUAGAUGGAUCCGCGCCGCAUUAGCUAGUUGGUAAGGUAACGGCUUAACAAGGCAACGAUGCGUAGCCGACCUGAGAGGGUGAUCAGCAACACGGGAGAGAAGACGAGGUCCAGAACUGGACGGGAGGCAGCGGUAGGAAAUCUUCAGCAAGGGGCGAAAGCCUGACGGAGCAACGCCGCGUGAGCGAUGAAGGUCUUCGGAGCGUAAAACUCUGUUAUUAGGGAAGAACAAAUGUGUAAGAAACGAUGCACGUCUGGACGGUACCGAAGCAGAAAGCCACGGCUAACUAGGU